Gallus gallus (chicken) is the source of this 3019-nucleotide long non-coding RNA. NCBI's taxonomy places the organism in Eukaryota, Metazoa, Chordata, Aves, Galliformes, Phasianidae. The record is from Ensembl.
CUGUGUGCCUUUGCUUCUCUGUAGAAGAAAAGCUACACAGACAAAAAAAAAAAAAAAAAGAGAGAAGGAAAACAAUAGCUUGAAAAAUGGAAUGAGGCUGUUAUUAAAGAAUUUACAGAGAAGGAAAGAAUGGAAAAAUUAAUUCUGCAAGAGAUGUGAAACAAUACAAGGAUGAACAAAAAUUAAGACUCUGAAGAGCUCCAAGUCAGCAGUGUUCGACUCACCAAAAUGCAGGUUGGCCUUUUUCAUAGGAGGGGUUGAUCUCAUUCAGUUUCAUCAUCAGAACAAACAGGACAUGUUACAAUUCAUAUUCUUUUAGUGUUUCCUGUACAAAACGACAAACUAUCAGAACUUGGUACCAUGGUGUCCACACAACACACCAUACUGAUAAAGACAGGCAAAAGUAGAAGGGAAAAGAGCAGAUGUAGAGGCUUAGGCAAGAAAUAAUAUAUUAAACUUCCAAUUCCCCCAUUUUCUUAUAGAGCAAAUUCUCUAAUUUGGGCUAGUACCCAGAAGAAAAAAAAAAUAGUUUGGGAAGGUCCUCUUGGAGUGCAGCUUUCUACACUAGUGACAAACUCCACGGGUGAAUCAAGUUUCUAAGGGCCUUGUCCGGGCAAGAAUAAGGGAGUAGUGAGGGCUGAUUACUCCCUUUGGGCAUAAAGCAAAGUACUGAAACAAGGCUAGCAGGGCUAAGAGCUUCACCUCUGACAUAGAUCAGGUAGGUAUCAGAAGUCCAGACCUGAAUGUAAAUGGAGACCCUGGACCAUAGGCACGUGCAUGGUUGCAUCCCAGGUGUUGUGGGUCCAAGCAAUUACGGCCUAUUAAUGCACUAAGGUUCCUGCAGAAAGUUUUGGGUAUCACUCAAGAUGGAGAAGGAUGGAAGCAAUAGAUUUCUUUGUUGUGUUUCCUCAUAAAUUAUUAUGUUAGAACAAGAUCAUUCCUCAAACAGCCAGCUUUGCUGGCUGAAACAAAUUAAGCUAAGUCUCAAAGUUGCCUAUUGUGGCCUUUUCAACUAUCAUACCAGACAACUCAGCAAUUUUAUGCAGAAUUCCUCAAAUUAAACACAACAUACUUUUUUCUUUCCAUCUUUCUUCUGUACCUUCUAACUGUUGAGACCAGAUCUUAGGAUAAUGAGAUCUCAUUUAGGAAGUUUCUCAGCUAGCUUCUCCUCUGCCUGACAUGACUUGCACUUUGGAAACUUCUGUAUCAACCAAUCUCAGUUACUGUGUGUAGAAAAGGAAAAUCCCUAUACCAGGCUCCAAUGUCAGAUAAUUCCAUGUGAAAAACACAGCACUGUGCUUAUCAUGUUGGCAAUGACUAAUUGCAACAGUUUUCAUAAUCUUUCAUUUUCAUGUGUUCUGACUAUCAGACCGUGACACUGUCUUGCACUUUGUUUCAGAUACAGAAAGCUACUGCAGCAUCUCCACAGAUGCCCUUGUUACAAACACCCGGCCAAUGGAAACUCUGACUCUCAAGUUGUCUGUUGUGAAGUGCUAAAUUGAACUGUAUUCUAAGUGCUAAACUGAACUGUAUGACUACAGAGUUAAAAGACUGUAAGGAAUUGGCUGAUGGCAGUGUGAUGUUCCUCCUCAUAAAAGAGACACAAGUUGUCAACAGUCUUAGAACAGUUCCACUUAGCAUGAUGCAUGCGACUCUUGGAAACACUUCUUUAUACUCAGGAAAUAAAAAACACAAUAGCUGGCUUUCAAUUUAGCCACAGGAUGAGAAGGUCUAGCCAUUAAAAAUCAAUUGUCAGAUUGGAAAAGUGUAAUAGUAAACUUGAACUACAUUGCAUUGUUUUUAGGCUUAUUGUUUCCAAAAUCACAGAACUGUAGGGAUUGGAAGUGACCUCUGGGGAUCAUCAAGCCCAACAGCCCUGUUAAAGCAUGUUCCCUACAGUAAGGAAGAAAGUGCAUAGGAUAGUGUUCAGUCAGGUCUUGAAAAUCUCCAGAGAAGGAGAGUCUACAGCCUCUCUAGGAAGCCUGUUCCACUGCUCUAUAACCCUCACUAUAAAGAAGGGUUAUGUCCUCAAGUCUGCAUGGAACUUCUUGUGUUACAGUUUUUGCCUGUUGCCCCUUGUCCUGUCACUGCACACCACUGAAGAGUCUGCCCCCAUCUACUUGUCUUCCCCACUUUAUAUAAAGUUAUGAGAUCGCCUCUCAGUUUUCUCUUCUCCUGACUGAAGAGACCCAGGUCUCUCAGCCUUUCCUUACAACAGAGAUGUUCCAGGGCACUCAUCAUCUUUACAGCUCUCUGCUGAACUCUCUUCAGAAAAUCCCUGUCUUUUUUGAAGUGAGUAGCCCAGAACUGGACACAGUACUCCAGAUGGGGUCUCACCAAGGCAGAGUUGAGGGGUAGGAGAGCCUUCCUCGACUUGCUAGCCACACUCUUUUAAUGCACCUCAGGAUACUGUCGGCCUUCACAAGGGCACACUGCUGGUUCAUGGCCAACCUGUUGUCCACCAGGACCCAUGACUCUUUCUCCACAGGUCAUCUUCCUUUCCAGCUGGCCAUCUCCUAACCUGUACUGAUGCAUGCAGUUAUUCCUCCCCGGGUGUAGGACCCUACAUUUGUUGAACCUCAUAAGGCUCCUCUCCACCCAACUCACCAGCCUAUCCAAGUCUUGUUGAACAGUACUAUAACCAUAUGGUAUGUCAGCCAUUUGUCCCAGCUACAUAUCUUGUACACCUUCAGUCUCAUGAGUCAGUCUUGAACUUGCUCUGCCCUUACAAUGGGGAAAAGUUUGCUCCCCAAGUUCCCAUUGAAAGGUUUAAGUUCAAGGAUGUGAGAAUCCCAGCUGCCAGUGAAGACAGAGGCAAAGAACUCACUGAGUACUUUAGGCUUCUCUGUAUCUCUCGUAGCCACUUCUCUUCCAUUUAGCAGAGGAGGUAUACUCCCUUUAGCCUGUCUCUUCCAGCCUUUAUACUCGUAGAAUCCCUUCUUGCCAUUUUUUUAACAUCCUUCACUGUCACAGAGUUAUCUCUAGAUGAAAGGUGAAAAGGGUAGGAAGAUAGUAGAUG